UACAGAGGGUGCGAGCGUUAAUCGGAAUUACUGGGCGUAAAGCGCACGUAGAUGGCUUUGUAAGUCAGAUGUGAAAUCCCCGGGCUCAACCUGGGAACUGCAUUUGAAACUGCAUUGCUCGAAUGUGGAAGAGGGAAGCGGAAUUCCAGGUGUAGCGGUGAAAUGCGUAGAGAUGUGGAGGAACACCGAUGGCGAAGGCAGCCUCCUGGGCCAACACUGACGCUCAUGCACGAAAGCGUGGGGAGCAAACAGG
This 253-nucleotide ribosomal RNA is filed under the name uncultured bacterium. Its description in RNAcentral is "partial 16S ribosomal RNA". It matches the Rfam family "Bacterial small subunit ribosomal RNA", at positions 524 to 776 of the family's 1533-position model. The record is from RNAcentral.